GGGUGAGUAACACGUGGGCAACCUGCCCUGCAGAUCGGGAUAACUCCGGGAAACCGGUGCUAAUACCGAAUAGUUUGCGGCCUCUCCUGAGGCUGUACGGAAAGACGGUUUCGGCUGUCACUGCAGGAUGGGCCCGCGGCGCAUUAGCUAGUUGGUGGGGUAAUGGCCUACCAAGGCGACGAUGCGUAGCCGACCUGAGAGGGUGAUCGGCCACACUGGGACUGAAACACGGCCCAGACUCCUACGGGAGGCAGCAGUAGGGAAUCUUCCGCAAUGGACGAAAGUCUGACGGAACAACGCCGCGUGAGUGACGAAGGUUUUCGGAUCGUAAAACUCUGUUGUGAGGGAAGAACAAGUACCAAGUAACUACUGGUACCUUGACGGUACCUCACCAGAAAGCCACGGCUAACUACGUGCCAGCAGCCGCGGUAAUACGUAGGUGGCAAGCGUUGUCCGGAAUUAUUGGGCGUAAAGCGCGCGCAGGCGGUUCCUUAAGUCCGAUGUGAAAGCCCACGGCUCAACCGUGGAGGGUCAUUGGAAACUGGGGAACUUGAGUGCAGAAGAAGAAAGUGGAAUUCCAUGUGUAGCGGUGAAAUGCGUAGAGAUGUGGAGGAACACCAGUGGCGAAGGCGACUUUCUGGUCUGUAACUGACGCUGAAGCGCGAAAGCGUGGGGAGCAAACAGGAUUAGAUACCCUGGUAGUCCACGCCGUAAACGAUGAGUGCUAAGUGUUAGGGGGUUUCCGCCCCUUAGUGCUGCAGCUAACGCAUUAAGCACU
This 778-nucleotide ribosomal RNA is filed under the name Planococcus sp. PF69. RNAcentral's name for it is "bacterial SSU rRNA". It matches the Rfam family "Bacterial small subunit ribosomal RNA", at positions 104 to 868 of the family's 1533-position model. Lineage: Bacteria; Bacillati; Bacillota; Bacilli; Caryophanales; Caryophanaceae. The record is from RNAcentral.